AUUGAACGCUGGCGGCAGGCCUAACACAUGCAAGUCGAGCGGAGCGGCGGACGGGUGAGUAAUGCCUAGGAAUCUGCCUGGUAGUGGGGGAGAACGUCCGGAAACGGGCGCUAAUACCGCAUACUAUCAGAUGAGCCUAGGUCGGAUUAGGUAGUUGGUGGGGUAAAGGCCUACCAAGGCGACGAUCCGUAACUGGUAUGAGAGGAUGACCAGUCAUACUGGAACUGGAACACGGUCCAGACUCCUACGGUGGGAAGCAGUGGGGAAUAUUGGACAAGGGGGGAAAUCCUGAUCCAGCAAUGCCGCGUGUGGGAAGAAGGUCUUCGGAUUGUAAAGCACUUUAAGUUGGGAGGCGUUACCAACAGAAUAAGCACCGGCUAACUUCGUGCCAGCAGCCGCGGUAAUUC
Molecule: ribosomal RNA, 407 nt
Filed under: uncultured bacterium
Lineage: Bacteria
Description: partial 16S ribosomal RNA
Rfam family: Bacterial small subunit ribosomal RNA
Source: RNAcentral